Molecule: ribosomal RNA, 235 nt
Filed under: uncultured bacterium
Lineage: Bacteria
Description: partial 16S ribosomal RNA
Rfam family: Bacterial small subunit ribosomal RNA
Source: RNAcentral
UGAGCAAUCUGCCCUUCUCUUUGGAAUAAGCGUUGGAAACGACGUCUAAUGCCGAAUACGACCUCCUUUCGCAUGAUCGGAGGUGGAAAGCUCCGGCGGAGAAGGAUGAGCUCGCGGCCUAUCAGCUAGUUGGUGUGGGUAAUGGCCCACCAAGGCGACGACGGGUAGCCGGCCUGAGAGGGUGACCGGCCACACUGGGACUGAGACACGGCCCAGACUCCUACGGAGGGNAGCG